RNAcentral lists this transfer RNA (73 nucleotides) under Saccoglossus kowalevskii. RNAcentral describes it as "tRNA-Arg". It matches the Rfam family "tRNA". Rfam says of the family: Transfer RNA (tRNA) molecules are approximately 80 nucleotides in length. Lineage: Eukaryota; Metazoa; Hemichordata; Enteropneusta; Harrimaniidae. The record is from RNAcentral.
GGGUGUGUGGCGCAACGGAUAAGGCGUCUGACUACGGAUCAGAAGAUUCCAGGUUCGAAUCCUGGUACGCUCG